UACAGAGGUCUCAAGCGUUGUUCGGAUUCAUUGGGCGUAAAGGGUGCGUAGGUGGCGCUGUAAGUCGGGUGUGAAAUUUCGGAGCUUAACUCCGAAACUGCAUUCGAUACUGCGGUGCUUGAGGACUGGAGAGGAGACUGGAAUUCAUGGUGUAGCGGUGGAAUGCGUAGAGAUCCGGAGGAAGACCGGUGGCGAAGGCGGUCUGCUGGGCAGUUUCUGACACUGAUGCGCGACAGCGUGGGGAGCAAACAGG
Molecule: ribosomal RNA, 253 nt
Filed under: uncultured bacterium
Lineage: Bacteria
Description: partial 16S ribosomal RNA
Rfam family: Bacterial small subunit ribosomal RNA
Source: RNAcentral